This 301-nucleotide ribosomal RNA is filed under the name uncultured bacterium. Its description in RNAcentral is "partial 16S ribosomal RNA". It matches the Rfam family "Bacterial small subunit ribosomal RNA", at positions 509 to 809 of the family's 1533-position model. The record is from RNAcentral.
CAGUAGCCGCGGGAAUACGAAGGGGGCUAGCGUUGCUCGGAAUUACUGGGCGUAAAGGGAGCGUAGGCGGACAUUUAAGUCAGGGGUGAAAUCCCAGAGCUCAACUCUGGAACUGCCUUUGAUACUGGGUGUCUUGAGUGUGAUAGAGGUAUGUGGAACUCCGAGUGUAGAGGUGAAAUUCGUAGAUAUUCGGAAGAACACCAGUGGCGAAGGCGACAUACUGGAUCAUUACUGACGCUGAGGCUCGAAAGCGUGGGGAGCAAACAGGAUUAGAUACCCGUGUAGUCCCUGUCUCUUAUAA